UAGGUGAACCUGCGGAAGGAUCAUUAAUAAACCUAGUCGUUCGCGUACAUAGGGGCAACCCUCGCGUGAUGUCAGCAAUACCUAGGUAACCCUUGAAUAAACUACCCUUGUUGCUUUGGCGGGCCGCCGUCUCGGCCAGCGGCUUCGGCUGCUGCGCGCCCGCCAGAGGACCACAACUCUUGUUUUUAGUGAUGUCUGAGUACUAUAUAAUAGUUAAAACUUUCAACAACGGAUCUCUUGGUUCUGGCAUCGAUGAAGAACGCAGCGAAAUGCGAUAAGUAAUGUGAAUUGCAGAAUUCAGUGAAUCAUCGAAUCUUUGAACGCACAUUGCGCCCUUUGGUAUUCCGAAGGGCAUGCCUGUUCGAGCGUCAUUAUAACCACUCAAGCUCUCGCUUGGUAUUGGGGUGCGCGGUUCCGCGGCCUCUAAAGUCAGUGGCGGUGCCUGUCGGCUCUACGCGUAGUAAUACUCCUCGCGUCUGGGUCCGGUAGGUUGCUUGCCAACAACCCCCAAAUUUUUACAGGUUGACCUC
RNAcentral lists this ribosomal RNA (530 nucleotides) under fungal sp. AB10. RNAcentral describes it as "eukaryotic LSU rRNA". The stretch from base 218 to 371 matches the Rfam family "5.8S ribosomal RNA". RNAcentral also lists the same sequence under 1 other name. Lineage: Eukaryota; Fungi. The record is from RNAcentral.